AGUGAACGCUGGCGGUAUGCCUAACACAUGCAAGUCGAACGGCAGCACAGUAACAUCUUGCUCUUACGGGUUGCCAAUGGCGGACGGGUGAGGAAUACAUCGGAAUCUACAUUUUCGUGGGGGAUAACGUAGGUAAACUUACGCUAAUACCGCAUACGACCUACGGGUGAAAGCAGGGGAUCUUCGGACCUUGCGCGAUUGAAUGAGCCGAUGUCGGGUUAGCUAGUUUGCGGGGUAAAGGCCCACCAGGGCGACGAUCCGUAGCUGGUCUGAGAGGAUGAUCGGCGACCCUGGAAGUGAGACACGGUCCAGACUCCUACGGGAGGGAGCAGUGGGGAAUAUUGGGCAGUGGUGGCGAGCCUGAUCCAGCCGUACCAAGUGGGUGGAGGAGGCGUUGGGGUUGUAAAGCCGUUUUGUUGGGAGAGAAAAGCAGCCGGUUAAUACCCAGCUGUUCUGACGGUACCUAAAGAAUAAGCACCGGCUAACUUCGUG
RNAcentral lists this ribosomal RNA (492 nucleotides) under uncultured bacterium. Its description in RNAcentral is "partial 16S ribosomal RNA". It matches the Rfam family "Bacterial small subunit ribosomal RNA", at positions 29 to 507 of the family's 1533-position model. The record is from RNAcentral.